Molecule: ribosomal RNA, 255 nt
Filed under: Latilactobacillus sakei
Lineage: Bacteria; Bacillati; Bacillota; Bacilli; Lactobacillales; Lactobacillaceae
Description: Lactobacillus sakei partial 16S ribosomal RNA
Rfam family: Bacterial small subunit ribosomal RNA
Source: RNAcentral
UCUAGAGAUAGAGCUUUCCCUUCGGGGACAAAGUGACAGGUGGUGCAUGGUUGUCGUCAGCUCGUGUCGUGAGAUGUUGGGUUAAGUCCCGCAACGAGCGCAACCCUUAUUACUAGUUGCCAGCAUUAAGUUGGGCACUCUAGUGAGACUGCCGGUGACAAACCGGAGGAAGGUGGGGACGACGUCAAAUCAUCAUGCCCCUUAUGACCUGGGCUACACACGUGCUACAAUGGAUGGUACAACGAGUUGCGAGAC